CUGACCAGAAAAAUGGAAUAGCAUUAGAGACGUGAAUGCUAUUACUUGCAUUUACUCUUUAUAGAUAGCAAUUACUGGUUUUAGUUAGUGAUUGUUUCACCAAAAGUCCAGGAAUAAUAAAAAGUUCUGUAUUUUAUAUUAUAAUCUUUUCCUAAAUUAUAUAUAUUGUAUAUUUCAUGUUGCAGUAAAUAAAAAUGGUGGAACAGAGUUUAGCCAGUGCAAACUUGUUUCAUAUUGGCCAACGUGUGUGAAGCUAAAGGCUGUUUUCCAUCACAGCCCCAGUUCUUCUAGCAUCAUCUGCACUUGGUCUCCAGCUGAAAGUUGCAAAAAAUGAGAACUCACUUGAUGGAACUCCAUUUUUCUAGACAAGUACAUAGUCCAUCUUAUUCUGUUUACUCACCAGUGCUAGAAUUGCUUUAGAUCAAGUGGUAGCCAGGAACCACGCCGCCUAUUUUGGAGACUAUAUCCUCCCAACCUUGGCCAAUGACAAAGAAAUCCAAAGGUCAGCCCUUUU
This is a long non-coding RNA of Lutra lutra (Eurasian river otter), 514 nucleotides long. RefSeq lists it as uncharacterized. The transcript is spliced from 3 exons. The record is from RefSeq and is a predicted model, not a curated record. Lineage: Eukaryota; Metazoa; Chordata; Mammalia; Carnivora; Mustelidae.